Molecule: ribosomal RNA, 497 nt
Filed under: uncultured bacterium
Lineage: Bacteria
Description: partial 16S ribosomal RNA
Rfam family: Bacterial small subunit ribosomal RNA
Source: RNAcentral
GAUGAACGCUGGCGGCGUGCCUAAUACAUGCAAGUCGAGCGAACAGACGAGGAGCUUGCUCCUCUGACGUUAGCGGCGGACGGGUGAGUAACACGUGGAUAACCUACCUAUAAGACUGGGAUAACUUCGGGAAACCGUAGCUAAUACCGGAUAAUAUAUUGAACCGCAUGGUUCAAUAGUGAAAGACGGUUUUGCUGUCACUUAUAGAUGGAUCCGCGCCGCAUUAGCUAGUUGGUAAGGUAACGGCUUACCAAGGCAACGAUGCGUAGCCGACCUGAGAGGGUGAUCGGCCACACUGGAACUGAGACACGGUCCAGACUCCUACGGGAGGCAGCAGUAGGGAAUCUUCCGCAAUGGGCGAAAGCCUGACGGAGCAACGCCGCGUGAGCGAUGAAGGUCUUCGGAUCGUAAAACUCUGUUAUUAGGGAAGAACAAAUGUGUAAGUAACUAUGCACGUCUUGACGGUACCUAACCAGAAAGCCACGGCUAACUACGUG